AUAACGGAGGAAAAGAAACCAACUGGGAUUACCUUAGUAACGGCGAGUGAAGCGGUAAAAGCUCAAAUUUGAAAUCUGGUACUUUCAGUGCCCGAGUUGUAAUUUGUAGAAUUUGUCUUUGAUUAGGUCCUUGUCUAUGUUCCUUGGAACAGGACGUCAUAGAGGGUGAGAAUCCCGUUUGGCGAGGAUACCUUUUCUCUGUAAGACUUUUUCGAAGAGUCGAGUUGUUUGGGAAUGCAGCUCAAAGUGGGUGGUAAAUUCCAUCUAAAGCUAAAUAUUGGCGAGAGACCGAUAGCGAACAAGUACAGUGAUGGAAAGAUGAAAAGAACUUUGAAAAGAGAGUGAAAAAGUACGUGAAAUUGUUGAAAGGGAAGGGCAUUUGAUCAGACAUGGUGUUUUUUGCAUGCACUCGCCUCUCGUGGGCUUGGGCCUCUCAAAAAUUUCACUGGGCCAACAUCAAUUCUGGCAGCAGGAUAAAUCAUUAAGAAUGUAGCUACUUCGGUAGUGUUAUAGCUUUUUGGAAUACUGUUAGCCGGGAUUGAGGACUGCGCUUCGGCAAGGAUGUUGGCAUAAUGGUUAAAUGCCGCCCGUCUUGAACCACCGGAAAC
RNAcentral lists this ribosomal RNA (608 nucleotides) under Hanseniaspora uvarum. RNAcentral's name for it is "eukaryotic LSU rRNA". It matches the Rfam family "Eukaryotic large subunit ribosomal RNA", at positions 47 to 664 of the family's 3401-position model. The record is from RNAcentral. Lineage: Eukaryota; Fungi; Ascomycota; Saccharomycetes; Saccharomycodales; Saccharomycodaceae.